AUGCAAGUCGAGCGAGAUUUUUUCCUGUAGCAAUACAGGGAAAAGUCUAGCGGCGAACGGGUGCUUAACACGUGGGCAACCUGCCAAGUAGUGGGGGAUAGCUCGCCGAAAGGCGAAUUAAUACCGCAUGUGAUCAGAGUGGACAUCCAUUCGAAAUCAAAGUCGGGGCAACCUGACGCUUUUAGAGGGGCCCGCGGCCUAUCAGCUAGUUGGUGAGGUAACGGCCCACCAAGGCUUAGACGGGUAGCUGGUCUGAGAGGACGACCAGCCACACUGGGACUGAGACACGGCCCAGACACCUACGGGUGGCAGCAGUCGAGAAUUUUUCUCAAUGGGGGAAACCCUGAAGGAGCGACGCCGCGUGGAGGAUGAAGGUCUUCGGAUUGUAAACUCCUGUCAUUGGGGAACAAUGCGUAAAUAUUAACUGUAUUUGCGUUGAUAGUACCCGAAGAGGAAGAGACGGCUAACUCUGUGCCAGCAGCCGCGGUAAUACAGAGGUCUCAAGCGUUGUUCGGAUUCAUUGGGCGUAAAGGGUGCGUAGGCGGCGCGGUAAGUCGGGUGUGAAAUCUCGGAGCUUAACUCCGAAACUGCAUUCGAUACUGCUGUGCUUGAGGACUGGAGAGGAGACUGGAAUUUACGGUGUAGCGGUGAAAUGCGUA
RNAcentral lists this ribosomal RNA (659 nucleotides) under uncultured soil bacterium. RNAcentral's name for it is "bacterial SSU rRNA". It matches the Rfam family "Bacterial small subunit ribosomal RNA", at positions 55 to 692 of the family's 1533-position model. The record is from RNAcentral.